AUGGUGAGAAGUAUGUUCCUAGCCAAGAGGGAUCUUCCUCUGCCACAACUUGAAUAUGAUCAAUACCUGGAAGGCAGAAUACCAUGGUUUAAGGAACAUGCAUGGCCUCAUCUUUGUGCUUAUUGGUGCUCAAAAGAGUUCAAGUUUUUAAGGAAGAGAGGGCAGGAAUCUCGCUUCAAGAGUGAAGAUAUUGCUCAAAAUCCGGGAGGUUCACUGGCAUUUGUGGAGGCUCGACAAAUUCUGAAAUAUGGGCCUGAGAAGGCUACCACCCUGAAUACGUAUGCUGCAAUGAAAUCUGGAUUAAAGAAUUGGGAUGGCAGUGGCAGCAUCAGUUCCACCCUUAGUGGGAAGGCAAAAAAACGCCACGAUGAUUACUAUGAUUUGGCUAGAGCCGCACAUCCUGAUGAUUGGGAGGACCGAGAGUUAGAUGGGCAAAUGUUAUAUGAGUCAUCAGGUGGCAUUCCUCGUGGAGCAAUUAAGAAGGCUGAUGUUAUCUCAAUAGCUAGAGAGAAGAAACUGAGGCCGUUAUCUUCAGCAUCAUUUCGGCGAACUAUUCAAGAAAACGAAGAACUGAAGCGACGAGCUAUUCAAGAAAACGAAGAACUGAAGCGACGUAAUGAGAACCUUCAAAAGAUAGUGGAUAUGCAUGGAAGACUUUUCUUGGUACUUGCAAAUCUGUGUACAUGUUUCAGAUUAAUUGUUCAAACCAGCUAUUCUAAUGUUGCAUACUUGUUCAUAGGCCCUUUUUAA
Molecule: ribosomal RNA, 750 nt
Filed under: Triticum aestivum (bread wheat)
Lineage: Eukaryota; Viridiplantae; Streptophyta; Magnoliopsida; Poales; Poaceae
Description: partial small subunit ribosomal RNA
Source: RNAcentral